Molecule: ribosomal RNA, 253 nt
Filed under: uncultured bacterium
Lineage: Bacteria
Description: partial 16S ribosomal RNA
Rfam family: Bacterial small subunit ribosomal RNA
Source: RNAcentral
UACGGAGGGGGCUAGCGUUGUUCGGAAUUACUGGGCGUAAAGCGCACGUAGGCGGCUUUGUAAGUUAGAGGUGAAAGCCCGGGGCUCAACUCCGGAACUGCCUUUAAGACUGCAUCGCUAGAAUUGUGGAGAGGUGAGUGGAAUUCCGAGUGUAGAGGUGAAAUUCGUAGAUAUUCGGAAGAACACCAGUGGCGAAGGCGACUCACUGGACACAUAUUGACGCUGAGGUGCGAAAGCUAGGGGAGCAAACGGG